Non-coding RNA from Macaca mulatta (Rhesus monkey), 923 nucleotides. NCBI's taxonomy places the organism in Eukaryota, Metazoa, Chordata, Mammalia, Primates, Cercopithecidae. The record is from RefSeq and is a predicted model, not a curated record.
AUAAAGUGUUAUGAUCAUGUCUAAAGUAUCUGUGUGUCUUUUUCACAUGUGACGUUAAAUUGAAUAAAUUAGAGAAGCUUUACUCAAGCCCCAAAGUAGUCACUACCAUGAAUGAUAAGUCAUACAAGGAAGAAAAUGUAAGACAAGUAAGUUUCUUCACUGUGUAUAUGGUUUUGUUCUGUUCAUGGAUUGGGUGAUUCCUUUUUCAUUAACUUUUCCGUUUUCUUUGCCUUUCUUGCAGAUAAGUGCCCUCUGAGUACCAAACAGGAAUGUACUGUUUAUAUAGAAAUUUCAAAUCAGCAGAAAAUUCAAAUAGUUAUAACUUUUCUUUAUAGUCCAUCAUGAGAAAGAGUAACAACAACACAUUGGAAGAAUUUGUAUAUUAGCCUUGGAGGAAGAGGGAUGGCAGUUAUUUCCCCAUGGGAGAAAAUACAAGAAAGCCCCUGUGAAUUACAUACGAUAGCUGUUGAUUGUCUGCCUAAAGAAGAGAACAAAGCUGCAAGGGCUGCACGAGACGGUAGGAAGAAGUUGCUUCAACAGCACAACCCAUCUCUCUGUGACUGGCAGUGGAUGUGCUGACUCACUGAGGAUGUGCUGAGUACAUACAUUGGCCAAAUAACACAUCAGGUGCCAGAGAUGGGAAGAGUUGUGCUCUCCUGCAGCCUUUUGGGGAUGGCUGGCUUCCAUACCCAGAAUCAAUCACACCGCGACACUGAAAAAACAAAAAUAAACAGGAAAAAUAUGUUCCUAAUGCGGCACUUGACCCCAGCACUUUCCCACAAACACCCAUCCUGGAAAUCUCAGAUACCCUCCGGGUACUGACUGCAUCUCUGUCAUUAAUGGCUUUUGUUCCAAGCCCAGAGCCUGACAGGUAUGUAAAGAUUUUUCAAAUGAUUGUUAGACUCCUUUCUCUUUCUCAUUUC